RNAcentral lists this ribosomal RNA (790 nucleotides) under Virgibacillus sp. N30. RNAcentral's name for it is "bacterial SSU rRNA". It matches the Rfam family "Bacterial small subunit ribosomal RNA", at positions 45 to 802 of the family's 1533-position model. Lineage: Bacteria; Bacillati; Bacillota; Bacilli; Caryophanales; Bacillaceae. The record is from RNAcentral.
UGCCUAAUACAUGCAAGUCGAGCGCAGGAAGCAAGNUGAUCCCCUUCGGGGGUGACGCUUGUGGAAUGAGCGGCGGACGGGUGAGUAACACGUGGGCAACCUGCCUGUAAGACUGGGAUAACCCCGGGAAACCGGGGCUAAUACCGGAUAAUACUUUCUUUUGCAUAAAGGAAAGUUGAAAGGNGGCUUCGGCUGUCACUUACAGAUGGGCCCGCGGCGCAUUAGCUAGUUGGUGAGGUAACGGCUCACCAAGGCGACGAUGCGUAGCCGACCUGAGAGGGUGAUCGGCCACACUGGGACUGAGACACGGCCCAGACUCCUACGGGAGGCAGCAGUAGGGAAUCUUCCGCAAUGGACGAAAGUCUGACGGAGCAACGCCGCGUGAGUGAUGAAGGUUUUCGGAUCGUAAAACUCUGUUGUUAGGGAAGAACAAGUUGGAUAGUAACUGANCNNACCUUGACGGUACCUAACCAGAAAGCCACGGCUAACUACGUGCCAGCAGCCGCGGUAAUACGUAGGUGGCAAGCGUUGUCCGGAAUUAUUGGGCGUAAAGCGCUCGCAGGCGGUCCUUUAAGUCUGAUGUGAAAUCUCGCGGCUCAACCGCGAACGGUCAUUGGAAACUGGAGGACUUGAGUACAGAAGAGGAGAGUGGAAUUCCACGUGUAGCGGUGAAAUGCGUAGAGAUGUGGAGGAACACCAGUGGCGAAGGCGACUCUCUGGUCUGUAACUGACGCUGAGGAGCGAAAGCGUGGGGAGCGAACAGGAUUAGAUACCCUGGUAGUCCACGCCG